CACAGGGGAGCUUGCUCCCUGGGUGACGAGCGGCGGACGGGUGAGUAAUGUCUGGGAAACUGCCUGAUGGAGGGGGAUAACUACUGGAAACGGUAGCUAAUACCGCAUAACGUCGCAAGACCAAAGAGGGGGACCUUCGGGCCUCUUGCCAUCAGAUGUGCCCAGAUGGGAUUAGCUAGUAGGUGGGGUAAUGGCUCACCUAGGCGACGAUCCCUAGCUGGUCUGAGAGGAUGACCAGCCACACUGGAACUGAGACACGGUCCAGACUCCUACGGGAGGCAGCAGUGGGGAAUAUUGCACAAUGGGCGCAAGCCUGAUGCAGCCAUGCCGCGUGUGUGAAGAAGGCCUUCGGGUUGUAAAGCACUUUCAGCGAGGAGGAAGGUGGUGAGCUUAAUACGCUCAUCAAUUGACGUUACUCGCAGAAGAAGCACCGGCUAACUCCGUGCCAGCAGCCGCGGUAAUACGGAGGGUGCAAGCGUUAAUCGGAAUUACUGGGCGUAAAGCGCACGCAGGCGGUUUGUUAAGUCAGAUGUGAAAUCCCCGGGCUCAACCUGGGAACUGCAUUUGAAACUGGCAAGCUAGAGUCUCGUAGAGGGGGGUAGAAUUCCAGGU
RNAcentral lists this ribosomal RNA (612 nucleotides) under uncultured Serratia sp. RNAcentral's name for it is "bacterial SSU rRNA". It matches the Rfam family "Bacterial small subunit ribosomal RNA", at positions 70 to 674 of the family's 1533-position model. Lineage: Bacteria; Pseudomonadati; Pseudomonadota; Gammaproteobacteria; Enterobacterales; Yersiniaceae. The record is from RNAcentral.